GUAGGUGGCAAGCGUUGUCCGGAAUUAUUGGGCGUAAAGCGCGCGCAGGCGCUUCUUUAAGUCUGAUGUGAAAGCCCACGGCUCAACCGUGGAGGGUCAUUGGAAACUGGAGAACUUGAGUACAGAAGAGGAAAGCGGAAUUCCACGUGUAGCGGUGAAAUGCGUAGAGAUGUGGAGGAACACCAGUGGCGAAGGCGGCUUUCUGGUCUGUAACUGACGCUGAGGCGCGAAAGCGUGGGGAGCAAACAGGAUUAGAUACCCUGGUAGUCCACGCCGUAAACGAUGAGUGCUAAGCGUUAGGGGGUUUCCGCCCCCCUUAGUGCUGCAGCUAACGCAUUAAGCACUCCGCCUGGGAGUACGGCCGCAAGGCUG
This 372-nucleotide ribosomal RNA is filed under the name uncultured organism. Its description in RNAcentral is "partial 16S ribosomal RNA". It matches the Rfam family "Bacterial small subunit ribosomal RNA", at positions 527 to 896 of the family's 1533-position model. The record is from RNAcentral.